GAACAACAGCAUUAAAAUGCACACUGGUUUCGGCCCAGUGAGAGCGGUCACGCAUUGUUUU
RNAcentral lists this transfer RNA (61 nucleotides) under Amynthas tokioensis. Its description in RNAcentral is "tRNA-Arg". Lineage: Eukaryota; Metazoa; Annelida; Clitellata; Crassiclitellata; Megascolecidae. The record is from RNAcentral.